This 301-nucleotide ribosomal RNA is filed under the name uncultured bacterium. Its description in RNAcentral is "partial 16S ribosomal RNA". It matches the Rfam family "Bacterial small subunit ribosomal RNA", at positions 509 to 807 of the family's 1533-position model. The record is from RNAcentral.
CAGCAGCCACGGGAAUACGUAGGUGGCAAGCGUUGUCCGGAAUUAUUGGGCGUAAAGGGCUCGCAGGCGGUUUCUUAAGUCUGAUGUGAAAGCCCCCGGCUCAACCGGGGAGGGUCAUUGGAAACUGGGAAACUCGAGUGCAGAAGAGGAGAGUGGAAUUCCACGUGUAGCGGUGAAAUGCGUAGAGAUGUGGAGGAACACCAGUGGCGAAGGCGACUCUCUGGUCUGUAACUGACGCUGAGGAGCGAAAGCGUGGGGAGCGAACAGGAUUAGAUACCCCGGUAGUCCCUGUCUCUUAUAC